CGAACUAGCUGGGAAUAACACUUGAAGUGAACCUACUUGCAGGCGAAAAGACAAAAAAUCAAGCUUGUUCCUUUUAAUGCUCGAGUCUUCGUAUCGAUAGGAAAAUAGAACAGACAAAACUACAUGAUUAAAGUGCCACUGGUCAAAGAUCAGGACCUAUGGGCAGGGGCUAAUACAAAAAAAGGCUUUCCAGUCACUGACUCCAG
RNAcentral lists this long non-coding RNA (206 nucleotides) under Elaeis guineensis (African oil palm). RNAcentral's name for it is "long non-coding RNA (EGUI_LNC065833)". The record is from RNAcentral. Lineage: Eukaryota; Viridiplantae; Streptophyta; Magnoliopsida; Arecales; Arecaceae.